RNAcentral lists this microRNA precursor (200 nucleotides) under Brachypodium distachyon (stiff brome). RNAcentral's name for it is "MIR1435 microRNA precursor family". It matches the Rfam family "MIR1435 microRNA precursor family". The record is from Rfam by way of RNAcentral. Lineage: Eukaryota; Viridiplantae; Streptophyta; Magnoliopsida; Poales; Poaceae.
UUGCUUUGUCCUCAGUCAAAUUUCUUAAAGUUUGAUCAAGAUUAUAGAAAAAUAUACUAAUAUCUACAAUAUCAAAUAAGUAUACUACGGAAAUAUAUAUCAUGAUGGAUUUAAUAAAACUAAUUUAGAGUUGUAGAUAUUGGUAUAUUUUUCUAUAAACUUGUUCAAACUUUAAGAAGUUUGACUUAGGACAAAGUUAG